GCAGCCGGCUCGGGUCCCCUUCCACACCAUGGAAGCUUUGUUCUUUCGCUCUUUGCAAUAAAUCUUGCUAGUGUUCACUCUGGGUCCACACUGCCUUUAUGAGCUGUAACACUUACCGCGAAGGUCUGCAGCUUCACUCAGGAAGCCAGUGAGACCACGAGCCCCAGAAGAACGAACAACUCCAGACACACCGCUUUAAGAGCUGUAACACUCACCGGGAAGGUCUGCAGCUUCACUCCUGAGCCAGCGAGACCACGAACCAACCAGAAGGAAGAAACUCCGAAUACAUCUGAACAUCAGAAGGAACAAACUCCGGACACGCUGCCUUUAAGAACUGUAACACUCACCGCGAGGGUCCGUGGCUUCAUUCUUGAAGUCAGUGAGACCAAGAACCCACCAAUUCCGGACACAAUACUAGUACAUGAAAUGAUAGGCUUUUCAUGGACUUUGAAUAUGGGUCAUUUUAGCUUCCUCAAGUAACCUGUUCUAGCCUUUAAUCCUUAAUGUCAGAAAGUUAUUCUUUUACCUAACAAAAUUCAUUUGAUUUUUGACCAAUUUAACUUUCAUAGAUUAUAACAAAUUACUAUUUGACAGAGCAUUAGAACUCCAGUAACCAAGUUCUCUGAUUUUACAGAUAAAGAAACAAAGCUUCAGAGAGGUUAAGUGUAUUCCUGACCACAUAAAAGAAGGCAAAUUCAGACGUGUGAUUUGCAAAAGUUUUUUUUUAUUUCUAUGAGUUGUGUCUUCACUUUGUUAACUAUUUUAUUUGCUGUGCAGAAAUGUUUUAAUUCGAUGCAAUCCCAUUUGUUUUUGCUUUUGUUGCCUGUACUUUUGGAGUCAUAGCUGAAAAACGAUUACCUAUACCAAUAUUGUAUAGCUUUUCUCCUAUGUUUUCUGCUAGUAGUUUUGCAGCUUCGGGUCUUAUAUUUAAAUCUUUGAUGCAUCUUGAAUUGAUUUUUAUGUAUGGUGUGAGAAAGGAUCCAAUUUCAUUCUGCUGCGUAUAGAUAUCCUUUUCUCAACACCGCUUAUUGAAGAAGCUGUCCUUUCCCCAUUGUGUGUUCUUGGCACCUUUAUCAAAUAUUAUUUGACUAUAAUAUAAAUGUGUGGGUUUAUUUCUGGAUUUCUAAUGCUAUUCCCUUGGUCAACGUGUUUGUUUUUAUGCCAGGACCAUGAUUUUUUAUUACAAUAGCUUUUUAAUAUAUUUUGAAAUCAGUAAGUGUGAUGCCUCUGGCUUUGUUCUUUUUGUUCAAGAUUGUUUCAGUUAUUUGAGGUCUUUUAUGGCUCCAUAUAAAUUUAAUAAUUUGUUUUCUAUUCCUGUAAAAAAUGACAUUGGAAUUUUGGUAAGAAUUGCAUUGAAUCUACAAAUUGCUUCAGGUUGUAUGGACAUUUUAAAAAUAUUAAAUGUUUCAAUCCAUGAACAUA
Molecule: long non-coding RNA, 1422 nt
Filed under: Homo sapiens (human)
Lineage: Eukaryota; Metazoa; Chordata; Mammalia; Primates; Hominidae
Description: HSALNT0336309
Source: RNAcentral